This 602-nucleotide small RNA is filed under the name Pongo abelii (Sumatran orangutan). Its description in RNAcentral is "retained intron". Lineage: Eukaryota; Metazoa; Chordata; Mammalia; Primates; Hominidae. The record is from RNAcentral.
GCUGCACCAUGACCCUGGAGGCUAUCCGCUACACGCGGGGCUCCCUGCAGAUCCUAGACCAGCUGCUGCUGCCCCAGCAGAGCCGCUACGAGGCGGUGGGCUCGGUGCGCCAGGCCUGGGAGGCCAUCCGCGCCAUGAAGGUGCGGGGCGCCCCGGCCAUAGCCCUGGUGGGCUGUCUCAGCCUCGCCGUGGAGCUGCAGGCGGGCGCGGGGGGACCGGGACUCGCCGCGCUCGUGGCCUUCGUGCGCGACAAGCUGAGCUUCCUCGUCACCGCCCGGCCCACCGCUGUCAACAUGGCCCGCGCCGCCCGCGACCUGGCUGAUGUUGCAGCCCAGGAGGCGGAACAGGAGGGCGCUACGGAAGAGGCGGUCCGGGAGAGACGUGAAAUGGAGCUAUGCGAGCAUUGGGAAGAGCAUACCAGGCAGAGGGAACUGCCACUGCGAGGGCCCCUGGGUGGGACUGUGCUCGGUAAGACUUUGGCAAUCCACGUCCAGACUAGGAGCCUGCACCCCUGACCAAUGGACCACCCUGUCUGUUUGCCUCUCCCCUGGGCCUUCUCCUGGUGCGUGGGGCCCCGGCAGGUGUGAUCCGCUCACUGCACA